This 403-nucleotide ribosomal RNA is filed under the name Fusobacteriota bacterium. RNAcentral describes it as "Fusobacteria bacterium partial 16S ribosomal RNA". It matches the Rfam family "Bacterial small subunit ribosomal RNA", at positions 355 to 776 of the family's 1533-position model. Lineage: Bacteria; Fusobacteriati; Fusobacteriota. The record is from RNAcentral.
UGGGGAAUAUUGCACAAUGGAGGGAACUCUGAUGCAGCGACGCCGCGUGAACGAAGAAGGCUUUCGAGUCUUAAAGUUCUUUUAUAUGGGAAGAUAAUGACGGUACCAUAAGAAAAAGCCCCGGCUAACUACGUGCCAGCAGCCGCGGUAAUACGUAGGGGGCUAGCGUUGUCCGGAAUCACUGGGCGUAAAGGGUUCGCAGGCGGAAAUGCAAGUCAGGUGUAAAAGGCAGUAGCUUAACUACUGUAAGCAUUUGAAACUGCAUAUCUUGAGAAGAGUAGAGGUAAGUGGAAUUUUUAGUGUAGCGGUGAAAUGCGUAGAUAUUAAAAAGAAUACCGGUGGCGAAGGCGACUUACUGGGCUCAUUCUGACGCUGAGGAACGAAAGCGUGGGUAGCAAACAGG